Molecule: long non-coding RNA, 2014 nt
Organism: Varroa destructor (honeybee mite)
Lineage: Eukaryota; Metazoa; Arthropoda; Arachnida; Mesostigmata; Varroidae
Source: RefSeq, a predicted model, not a curated record
CUGCUCGCAAUUGCUCAUGGGGCGGAGUGGGUUGGCACAAGUGAUGUACGCGACGGAAGCGACUAGUCCCAUGGGAAUCGAAAAUUGUUGAAAGCAGCUUUGCUGAAGUGACCCAGAACUGAGUUAUGUUUCAACAGUAUCGGGCAGUCGUUUCUUAUCUACAACGAAGAGCCUCUCCUGUUGUUACUUGGUCUAUGAAAGAUCCAAACCCCAGUCGUUAUUCAAUACAUACAGCUUAUCGGUGAGAAAUCGAAUCAUCCACUUACUUACUCAGACAACUGACGGCCUACAUGAUGGCAAAUUGUUGGGAGAAGUAAGAAAUGAUUGCGGCGGUUUAUAGACCCAAGUUGAUUUUCGAUGCUGAACAUGGACUACGAGCAUGCCUUGUCUACUCUAUAAUCUGCACAAGGAUUCCAUUGAACAGUGGCUUACGCCAGACAAAUGAACAAAUGAAACGUACGUCAGACGCCCAAACAGUGACUAAUUCUACUUCGUAAAGCACCUCAACCAAAAUUCUUUUCCUUAGCAACCCAAUGCCUUCAGUUCAAGUCAAGUGAGUCAACGCCCCAACGCUCUCCGAAGCCUUCUGAGCGUCUGGUGCCUCGUUCCGCCCAUCCGCCAACUCAGUCAGCCGCUUUCCGAUGGUGGUGGUCAUGGUGCUGUUGAGACUCAUUUUCCUUUUGCCCUAGACGGUUUUGCGUCUCCAUCCUCCUCAUUGUCGACGGCUCUUUGCACGGUCAUUUAGAAGAAGAAUAGCUCAGGUCCUUGUUGCGGACAGAACUGGGGCUCUAGAAAGACGUGGAUAGGAUAACGCUGGCGGCGGCUGAGGGUGCGCGAAGUAAUGACAGCGUGAUGGCGGGCUUUUCAAAUGUUUCGGCAUUUCCCACUACCCAGAGAGGAGACAAGAGCAACGACGACCAGCGCCAAAUAACGAGAUAAUAGAUAGACAAACGCUACCAUCGAAAUCGUUGACGGCGUCGAAGACGAUGGCUGCACUGGCGAGAACAGAGGUGGCGGCGGCCGAUGCAACGAGACCAACGUUUUCGCGCACUUAACCAGUUCAAAUUCGCAGGCGACUACACUCGAGACAGCAGCAGUUUCGACCGCAGCUACCAAAUGAAACGUCUCUCUUGUGGAUUCGGUCCCGUCCAUAUCAUUGCUGCAGCUGGCGUCGUUUGACAGGGCGGCCCCUGCGGACCGUUCGAAGUCGAUGGUGCUGACCACAAGAAGGGUGCUCAAAGACAAAACGAUAGACGCUAGCAGGGCGUUACUGUCAAUCAGCACGGCUGUGUCUAUGUCUGUCUUUGCUGCUAUAUGUGGCUACUGAUAGUUAAGCGGCAUGGAAAAAAUCGGCUUGGACACGUCACAUCAAAUUAAUGCUAGCCUUCGAAUCCGUUGUAGUAUAUUUCAUCAACAUAAAAAACAACAAUGUCGGAUUUUUUCUAAGUGAAUCUGUGUGCAUUUCUAUAUAUCUCUAUGAGUUGAGGCAAAAAGACGAGCGAAAAUAGUAGGAAACCGUAAAGGGAAAAAGGAUGUGGAAACCGGAAUGGCAAAGUCCCAAGAGAAGGAGAAGCUACAACUAUAGAAGUCAAAGUUAUCACCCGAGUAGUAGUCUCGUGUACUUCGCCUAGAAAAGUUUUUUUUUUUGCCGCCGACAAACACGGGAAAAGGGGCGGCUUCGGCUUGCCGUGGCCAUUUCGACCGUGGCAACUGUGCUAACGGCUGUUUAACAGAGAAAUCUGUUAACAAGAACCCCACCAGACAGAUAAGAUAGAAGCACGAAGUAAUAUCCGGACGAAAGGAAUAGCUUGCAUGUAAUAUAAUAACAACCAAUAAAGUAGCUAGCGAUAAUAUAAGUGCUUAUUCUAUUACUAUACCAUAUUUGUAUGAGGUUGUUUUUGGCGUUUUGGCGAUAUAGGGUCUAUAGCCGUAUUUUGUCCUAAUGAAAAAUACUCAGAUGACUGUAAUAAAAAAAACGUCAGUGCUCUACCUCGCACACUUUAUGCACCGUCCU